GAUGAACGCUAGCGGCAGGCCUAACACAUGCAAGUCGAGGGAGAAGCCCUUUCGGGGGCAGAAACCGGCGCACGGGUGCGUAACGCGUAUGCAACCUACCUUUCACAGGGGGAUAGCCCGAAGAAAUUUGGAUUAAUACCCCAUAAUCUUAUUGGAUGGCAUCAUUUGAUAAUUAAAACUGCGGUGGUGAAAGAUGGGCAUGCGUCCUAUUAGCUAGUUGGAGUUGUAACGGCACUCCAAGGCUACGAUAGGUAGGGGUCCUGAGAGGGAGAUCCCCCACACUGGUACUGAGACAGGGACCAGACGCCGACGGGAGGCAGCAGUGAGUAAUAUUGGGCAAUGGUCGGAAGACUGAACCAGCCAUGCCGCGUGCAGGAAGAAUGCCUUAUGGGUUGUAAACUGCUUGUAUAGGGGAAGAAUAAGGCGUACGUGUACGUUGAUGACGGUACCAUAUGAAUAAGCAUCGGCUAACUACGUG
Molecule: ribosomal RNA, 478 nt
Filed under: uncultured bacterium
Lineage: Bacteria
Description: partial 16S ribosomal RNA
Rfam family: Bacterial small subunit ribosomal RNA
Source: RNAcentral